AUUGCAGCUGCAACUCGCCNGUAUGAAGUCGGAAUUGCUAGUAAUCGUGGAUCAGCAUGCCACGGUGAAUACGUUCCCGGGCCUUGUACACACCGCCCGUCACACCAUGGGAGUCGGUAACACCCGAAGCCUGUAGUCUAACCGCAAGGAGGACGCAGUCGAAGGUGGGAUUGAUGACUGGGGUGAAGUCGUAACAAGGUAGC
Molecule: ribosomal RNA, 203 nt
Filed under: uncultured bacterium
Lineage: Bacteria
Description: partial 16S ribosomal RNA
Rfam family: Bacterial small subunit ribosomal RNA
Source: RNAcentral